Molecule: ribosomal RNA, 250 nt
Filed under: uncultured bacterium
Lineage: Bacteria
Description: partial 16S ribosomal RNA
Rfam family: Bacterial small subunit ribosomal RNA
Source: RNAcentral
UACGUAGGUGGCAAGCGUUGUCCGGAUUUACUGGGUGUAAAGGGCGUGUAGGCGGGUAAUCAAGUCAGAUGUGAAAUACCGGGGCUCAACUCCGGAACUGCAUCUGAAACUGAUUGUCUUGAGUACUGGAGGGGAAAGUGGAAUUCCUAGUGUAGCGGUGAAAUGCGUAGAGAUUAGGAGGAACACCAGUGGCGAAGGCGGCUUUCUGGACAGUAACUGACGCUGAGGCGCGAAAGCGUGGGGAGCAAAC